UUUAUGGAGAGUUUGAUCCUGGCUCAGGAUGAACGCUGGCGGCGUGCCUAAUACAUGCAAGUCGAGCGAACGGACGAGAAGCUUGCUUCUCUGAUGUUAGCGGCGGACGGGUGAGUAACACGUGGAUAACCUACCUAUAAGACUGGGAUAACUUCGGGAAACCGGAGCUAAUACCGGAUAAUAUUUUGAACCGCAUGGUUCAAAAGUGAAAGACGGUCUUGCUGUCACUUAUAGAUGGAUCCGCGCUGCAUUAGCUAGUUGGUAAGGUAACGGCUUACCAAGGCAACGAUGCAUAGCCGACCUGAGAGGGUGAUCGGCCACACUGGAACUGAGACACGGUCCAGACUCCUACGGGAGGCAGCAGUAGGGAAUCUUCCGCAAUGGGCGAAAGCCUGACGGAGCAACGCCGCGUGAGUGAUGAAGGUCUUCGGAUCGUAAAACUCUGUUAUUAGGGAAGAACAUAUGUGUAAGUAACUGUGCACAUCUUGACGGUACCUAAUCAGAAAGCCACGGCUAACUACGUGCCAGCAGCCGCGGUAAUACGUAGGUGGCAAGCGUUAUCCGGAAUUAUUGGGCGUAAAGCGCGCGUAGGCGGUUUUUUAAGUCUGAUGUGAAAGCCCACGGCUCAACCGUGGAGGGUCAUUGGAAACUGGAAAACUUGAGUGCAGAAGAGGAAAGUGGAAUUCCAUGUGUAGCGGUGAAAUGCGCAGAGAUAUGGAGGAACACCAGUGGCGAAGGCGACUUUCUGGUCUGUAACUGACGCUGAUGUGCGAAAGCGUGGGGAUCAAACAGGAUUAGAUACCCUGGUAGUCCACGCCGUAAACGAUGAGUGCUAAGUGUUAGGGGGUUUCCGCCCCUUAGUGCUGCAGCUAACGCAUUAAGCACUCCGCCUGGGGAGUACGACCGCAAGGUUGAAACUCAAAGGAAUUGACGGGGACCCGCACAAGCGGUGGAGCAUGUGGUUUAAUUCGAAGCAACGCGAAGAACCUUACCAAAUCUUGACAUCCUUUGACAACUCUAGAGAUAGAGCUUCGGGGACAAAGUGACAGGUGGUGCAUGGUUGUCGUCAGCUCGUGUCGUGAGAUGUUGGGUUAAGUCCCGCAACGAGCGCAACCCUUAAGCUUAGUUGCCAUCAUUAAGUUGGGCACUCUAAGUUGACUGCCGGUGACAAACCGGAGGAAGGUGGGGAUGACGUCAAAUCAUCAUGCCCCUUAUGAUUUGGGCUACACACGUGCUACAAUGGACAAUACAAAGGGCAGCGAAACCGCGAGGUCAAGCAAAUCCCAUAAAGUUGUUCUCAGUUCGGAUUGUAGUCUGCAACUCGACUACAUGAAGCUGGAAUCGCUAGUAAUCGUAGAUCAGCAUGCUACGGUGAAUACGUUCCGGGUCUUGUACACACCGCCCGUCACACCACGAGAGUUUGUAACACCCGAAGCCGGUGGAGUAACCUUUUAGGAGCUAGCCGUCGAAGGUGGGACAAAUGAUUGGGGUGAAGUCGUAACAAGGUAGCCGUAUCGGAAGGUGCGGCUGGAUCACCUCCUUUCU
This 1545-nucleotide ribosomal RNA is filed under the name Staphylococcus aureus. RNAcentral describes it as "16S ribosomal RNA". It matches the Rfam family "Bacterial small subunit ribosomal RNA". Lineage: Bacteria; Bacillati; Bacillota; Bacilli; Caryophanales; Staphylococcaceae. The record is from RNAcentral.